RNAcentral lists this ribosomal RNA (167 nucleotides) under uncultured rumen bacterium. RNAcentral's name for it is "partial 16S ribosomal RNA". It matches the Rfam family "Bacterial small subunit ribosomal RNA", at positions 340 to 524 of the family's 1533-position model. The record is from RNAcentral.
UACGGGAGGCAGCAGUGGGGAAUAUUGGGCAAUGGGGGAAACCCUGACCCAGCAACGCCGCGUGAAGGAAGAAGGCUUUCGGGUUGUAAACUUCUUUUAACAGGGAAGAUAAUGACGGUACCUGUUGAAUAAGCCACGGCUAACUACGUGCCAGCAGCCGCGGUAAU